This 368-nucleotide ribosomal RNA is filed under the name uncultured phototrophic eukaryote. Its description in RNAcentral is "SSU rRNA". It matches the Rfam family "Bacterial small subunit ribosomal RNA", at positions 524 to 896 of the family's 1533-position model. The record is from RNAcentral.
UACGGGGGAUGCAAGCGUUAUCCGGAAUUAUUGGGCGUAAAGCGCCUGUAGGUUGUUUAAUAAGUCCAAUAUUAAAGACUAGGGCUCAACCCUAGAAAAAUAUUGGAAACUGUUAAGCUCGAGUAUGGUAGAGGUAGAGGGAAUUUCUAGUGUAGCGGUGAAAUGCGUAGAUAUUAGAAAGAACACCGGUGGCGAAAGCGCUCUACUGGGCCAUUACUGACACUGAGAGGCGAAAGCUAGGGGAGCAAAAGGGAUUAGAUACCCCUGUAGUCCUAGCCGUAAACGAUGGAUACUAGGUGUUGUAUUUUUUUACAGUAUCGUAGCUAACGCGUUAAGUAUCCCGCCUGGGGAGUACGCUCGCAAGGGUG